GUCAGCUUGGUGGAAUUGGUAGACACGACAGAUUUAAAAUCUGUUUCUUGUAAGAGAGUAUCGGUUCGAGUCCGAUAGCUGAUA
Molecule: transfer RNA, 84 nt
Filed under: Thecamonas trahens
Lineage: Eukaryota; Apusomonadida; Apusomonadidae
Also listed under: 1 other name
Description: tRNA-Leu
Rfam family: tRNA
About the family: Transfer RNA (tRNA) molecules are approximately 80 nucleotides in length. Their secondary structure includes four short double-helical elements and three loops (D, anti-codon, and T loops). Further hydrogen bonds mediate the characteristic L-shaped molecular structure. tRNAs have two regions of fundamental functional importance: the anti-codon, which is responsible for specific mRNA codon recognition, and the 3' end, to which the tRNAs corresponding amino acid is attached (by aminoacyl-tRNA synthetases). tRNAs cope with the degeneracy of the genetic code in two manners: having more than one tRNA (with a specific anti-codon) for a particular amino acid; and 'wobble' base-pairing, i.e. permitting non-standard base-pairing at the 3rd anti-codon position.
Source: RNAcentral